RNAcentral lists this long non-coding RNA (309 nucleotides) under Nicotiana benthamiana. RNAcentral describes it as "long non-coding RNA (NBEN_LNC022862)". Lineage: Eukaryota; Viridiplantae; Streptophyta; Magnoliopsida; Solanales; Solanaceae. The record is from RNAcentral.
GAAGGAAAAAUGGGUGAGAUCGAACAAAAAAUAGGAAAAAAACAUUUAAGCCUUAAUUUGUUCUUUUCGGUUGCUGUUCUUCGCGGUGCCUCGUCAGAAUGCUGGCUAAGAUUUAUUCUCUGAGCAUAGAAAGAGAGGAAAGGAUGUCUACGACUAUGCUAAUCAUGAGCAUGAAUUUUCCUCUCGCUUCAUUGUUUUGUGAGUUUUUACUACUGUGCUGUAUAUAUGUGUUAUUAUACUCAUAUGUUGUAUUAGUCUUUGAAACAAUAUUCUGAAUCAACUAAGAAUAAGAAAUUGGGAAAAUUGGUC